RNAcentral lists this ribosomal RNA (426 nucleotides) under uncultured bacterium. RNAcentral's name for it is "bacterial SSU rRNA". It matches the Rfam family "Bacterial small subunit ribosomal RNA", at positions 354 to 796 of the family's 1533-position model. The record is from RNAcentral.
GUGAGGAAUUUUCCGCAAUGGGCGAAAGCCUGACGGAGCAAUGCCGCGUGAAGGAUGAAGGCCUAUGGGUUGUAAACUUCUUUUCUCAGAAAAGAAUUAUGACGGUAUCUGAGGAAUAAGCAUCGGCUAACUCUGUGCCAGCAGCCGCGGUAAGACAGAGGAUGCAAGCGUUAUCCGGAAUGAUUGGGCGUAAAGCGUCUGUAGGUUGUUUAAAAAGUAUUCUGUCAAAGAUUAGUGCUUAACCCUAGAUAGGCAGAAUAAACUUUUAAGCUAGAGUUUGGUAGAGGCAGAGGGAAUUCCCGGUGGAGCGGUGAAAUGCGUAGAUAUCGGGAGGAACACCAAAGGCGAAGGCACUCUGCUGGGCCAAUACUAACACUCAGAGACGAAAGCGAGGGGAGCAAAUGGGAUUAGAUACCCCUGUAGUCC